This 72-nucleotide transfer RNA is filed under the name Rickettsiales bacterium. RNAcentral's name for it is "tRNA-Asp". It matches the Rfam family "tRNA". From Rfam's summary of the family: Transfer RNA (tRNA) molecules are approximately 80 nucleotides in length. Their secondary structure includes four short double-helical elements and three loops (D, anti-codon, and T loops). The record is from RNAcentral. Lineage: Bacteria; Pseudomonadati; Pseudomonadota; Alphaproteobacteria; Rickettsiales.
GGUUUAUUGGUCCAGCGGAAUGGAUUCCUGCUUGUCACGCAGGCGACCCGGGUUCGACUCCCGGAUAGACCU